Molecule: ribosomal RNA, 382 nt
Filed under: uncultured bacterium
Lineage: Bacteria
Description: bacterial SSU rRNA
Rfam family: Bacterial small subunit ribosomal RNA
Source: RNAcentral
AUUGAACGCUGGCGGAAUGCUUUACACAUGCAAGUCGAGCGGCAGCGCGGGGCAACCUGGCGGCGAGCGGCGAACGGGUGAGUAACAUAUCGGAACGUAUCCUUAAGUGGGGGACAACCUAGCGAAAGUUAGGCUAAUACCGCAUACGCAGGGAACUGGAAAGUGGGGGAUCGCAAGACCUCACGCUUUUGGAGCGGCCGAUAUCAGAUUAGCUUGUUGGUGAGGUAAAGGCUCACCAAGGCGACGAUCUGUAGCUGGUCUGAGAGGAUGAUCAGCCACACUGGGACUGAGACACGGCCCAGACUCCUACGGGAGGCAGCAGUGGGGAAUUUUGGACAAUGGGGGCAACCCUGAUCCAGCCAUUCCGCGUGAGUGAAGAAGG